UACGUCGGGUGCAAGCGUUGUCCGGAAUUAUUGGGCGUAAAGAGCUCGUAGGCGGUCUGUCGCGUCUGCUGUGAAAACUCAGGGCUUAACCCUGAGCUUGCAGUGGGUACGGGCAGACUAGAGUGCGGUAGGGGAGACUGGAAUUCCUGGUGUAGCGGUGAAAUGCGCAGAUAUCAGGAGGAACACCGGUGGCGAAGGCGGGUCUCUGGGUCGUAACUGACGCUGAGGAGCGAAAGCAUGGGGAGCGAACAGG
Molecule: ribosomal RNA, 253 nt
Filed under: uncultured bacterium
Lineage: Bacteria
Description: partial 16S ribosomal RNA
Rfam family: Bacterial small subunit ribosomal RNA
Source: RNAcentral